GGUCACAGCCAUUCCACCCUGAAUGCCCCCAAUCUGGCCUGAUCUCCAAAGGUAAGCAGGGUUGGGCCUGGUUAGUACUUGGGUGGCGGACUCAGUAACGUCCCCCACCCAAGAGACUUGCAGUCUCCC
Molecule: ribosomal RNA, 129 nt
Filed under: Octodon degus (degu)
Lineage: Eukaryota; Metazoa; Chordata; Mammalia; Rodentia; Octodontidae
Source: RNAcentral